UACAAAAAGGGCAAAGGAUAGAGCCGCUGCUCCCCAGACGACUCAAAAUGACUUUCAUGUGGAACACAGGAGGAGUGAGAAGGGCCUCCCAUUUAUUUACCAUCUACUAAGACGUUGUGUCCCUGUCACGUACCAGGUGCAUUAGUAAGGGACACACUGGGGUCCAAAUCCUGGCGUGGCCACUAACAAGCGAUGCAGCGUCAGGCCAGUGACCAUUUGUGACCUCUAGUUUUCAUCUAUGAAAGGAGUGCCUCUACUCUGGACAUCCAGGGACUUCGGAGAGCUGGAAGCAUAAGGACUGUGCAAUGACAGAAUCUGUGUUUUCUACCACACCCUGCCUGUGAAUAGUCCUAAUAUUUAAAAAGUGAGUAAACGGC
RNAcentral lists this long non-coding RNA (377 nucleotides) under Homo sapiens (human). RNAcentral's name for it is "HSALNT0097940". The record is from RNAcentral. Lineage: Eukaryota; Metazoa; Chordata; Mammalia; Primates; Hominidae.